Molecule: small nuclear RNA, 103 nt
Organism: Peromyscus californicus insignis
Lineage: Eukaryota; Metazoa; Chordata; Mammalia; Rodentia; Cricetidae
Source: RefSeq, a predicted model, not a curated record
UCGCUUCAGCAGCACAUAUACUAACAUUGGAAUGAUACAGAGAAGGUUAGCAUGGCCCCUGCGCAAGUAUGACACACAAAUUCAUGAAGCAUUCCAUAUUUUU